UACAUGCAAGUCGAGCGCGGGAAGCAGGCAGAUCCUCUUCGGAGGUGACGCCUGUGGAACGAGCGGCGGACGGGUGAGUAACACGUGGGCAACCUGCCUGUAAGAUUGGGAUAACCCCGGGAAACCGGGGCUAAUACCGGAUAAUACUUUUCGUUGCAUAACGAGAAGUUGAAAGGCGGCUUUUAGCUGUCACUUACAGAUGGGCCCGCGGCGCAUUAGCUAGUUGGUAAGGUAACGGCUUACCAAGGCGACGAUGCGUAGCCGACCUGAGAGGGUGAUCGGCCACACUGGGACUGAGACACGGCCCAGACUCCUACGGGAGGCAGCAGUAGGGAAUCUUCCGCAAUGGACGAAAGUCUGACGGAGCAACGCCGCGUGAGUGAUGAAGGUUUUCGGAUCGUAAAACUCUGUUGUCAGGGAAGAACAAGUGCCGUUCAAAUAGGGCGGCACCUUGACGGUACCUGACCAGAAAGCCCCGGCUAACUACGUGCCAGCAGCCGCGGUAAUACGUAGGGGGCAAGCGUUGUCCGGAAUUAUUGGGCGUAAAGCGCGCGCAGGCGGUCCUUUAAGUCUGAUGUGAAAGCCCACGGCUUAACCGUGGAGGGCCAUUGGAAACUGGAGGACUUGAGUACAGAAGAGGAGAGUGGAAUUCCACGUGUAGCGGUGAAAUGCGUAGAGAUGUGGAGGAACACCAGUGGCGAAGGCGACUCUCUGGUCUGUAACUGACGCUGAGGUGCGAAAGCGUGGGGAGCGAACAGGAUUAGAUACCCUGGUAGUCCACGCCGUAAACGAUGAGUGCUAGGUGUUAGGGGGUUUCCGCCCCUUAGUGCUGAAGUUAACGCAUUAAGCACUCCGCCUGGGGAGUACGGCCGCAAGGCUGAAACUCACAAGAAUUGACGGGGGCCCGCACAAGCGGUGGAGCAUGUGGUUUAAUUCGAAGCAACGCGAAGAACCUUACCAGGUCUUGACAUCCUCUGCCAAUCCUAGAGAUAGGAUGUUCCCUUCGGGGACAGAGUGACAGGUGGUGCAUGGUUGUCGUCAGCUCGUGUCGUGAGAUGUUGGGUUAAGUCCCGCAACCAGCGCAACCCUUGAUCUUAGUUGCCAGCAUUUAGUUGGGCACUCUAAGGUGACUGC
This 1134-nucleotide ribosomal RNA is filed under the name Virgibacillus salarius. RNAcentral's name for it is "bacterial SSU rRNA". It matches the Rfam family "Bacterial small subunit ribosomal RNA", at positions 52 to 1152 of the family's 1533-position model. The record is from RNAcentral. Lineage: Bacteria; Bacillati; Bacillota; Bacilli; Caryophanales; Bacillaceae.